CCCCGGGGACUUCAGUUCCUGACCCUGGACUGUGGGCACUGGCAGCGGCUGCAGGACUAGGUGAAGGUCAACACCGUAGGGGCUGGAUGCUGGGGGCAGCCAGCCUACCACCUGCACCUGUGAGCCCAAGACGAGGGUUCUGACUGGAUCAGCCUCUGCGGGAGGAGGUGCUCAGUGUUGAUGCGCGCAACAUGACUGCCUCCCGGGGCCUCAGAGUCAACUCUGGUGGAGGGAGGCCACCCUUGACUGGCUCUCCGGCCAUAGGGCUUGGCUCUGUGCAGGGUGAAUGCACGCUACAGCUGCACUCCCAGGCAACACCCCGAGGGAACAGGGAGGCAUCAGACACCAGCCCCCCAGCCUCCUCUCUGGGCUGCCCUGUCUGUGAAGCAGAACCAUGUGACUGGCAGGGCUGCUGGGGGGCAGGUCACAGGAUCUCAGC
RNAcentral lists this long non-coding RNA (439 nucleotides) under Homo sapiens (human). RNAcentral's name for it is "HSALNT0275944". The record is from RNAcentral. Lineage: Eukaryota; Metazoa; Chordata; Mammalia; Primates; Hominidae.